RNA transcript from Neopelma chrysocephalum (saffron-crested tyrant-manakin), 8115 nucleotides. RefSeq lists it as uncharacterized. The record is from RefSeq and is a predicted model, not a curated record. The transcript is spliced from 6 exons. NCBI's taxonomy places the organism in Eukaryota, Metazoa, Chordata, Aves, Passeriformes, Pipridae.
GGGGCGGGUGCCGCGGGAGAAGCUCUCCAACGUGUCCUUCUGCCAUCGCUGGGAAUGAUGGUUCCUUUAAGCCCUUACAAAUUGCAAAAGUUGAGGAAGACAGAGAAAUAAUUAAUGUAUUAAAACAAGCAGCGAAUUCCUCAGGAGGCACCUUAUCAACUCCAGCCACACUGGCUUCAUCCCUCCUCGUAUGCUAAUGCCCCGUGACGUCAUCGGCGCCAGAUUGAAUGUGAAUCAGUUAUGAAAUUAUUAGUUUUAGCUUAAAAAGCAAUCUGGCUCUCCCGCGAGUGGGCUUUGCGUUGCUGCGGGUUCUCGCUCCAUGUCCUCCCCAUGUUAUGCACACACAGUAGUUGCGACUUUCCUAUCGCAAUGAAUCAAUAUUUCCAAAGCACACAUCCGAACGGGGGGUGAUGUAAAGAAACCCAUAGAUUAAUUGGGUCCCGUUUCUGAGACGGCUGUGUUUAUCGAUACACACUUUACACCCGAAACCAGACACUCGGAUUUCCUCCUACUUUUCAGCUUUCUGUAACUCCAGUCAUCUCUGUCCCAAACCGGAGAGGACCUCAUUUCCUGCUCAGUGCUCUGCCAACCACAAGGUCUUUUCAUAAGGCUGCCAGGGGUGCCUGGCUGCGGGAAGGACAGUCAGUGUUUGUCACCAGGGAAUGAGCUGGCAUCAUAGCUCUGAUCUGAGUCAACAACCUGGCUAGCCCUGAGCAUGACUUCAUAAAUCAUGGGUCUGUGUGAUCUCCUCCUGUGAGAGGCAACUCAGCAGCUCGGUCCCCUCUGCCAUCUCAGCACUGCCAGUGGAAAAGCCCAGGAGGAGCAGAGCAGUGGCUGAGCAACAAUUUGAAUAUUCAUAUUUAACCCUUCGAACAACAGAAGAUACGUCACAACCAUGUUAAGAAGGAUAAGCUUGGAGUGCCCAGUCACCGUGGUAACUGCCAGAAAAAUUCUCCUGAAGUUUGAAGAGGUCAGCUAACGGGGUCAACAACUCUGGCCUCUCUCUGAGCUGGGCCUGGCAGGCUCCAUCCUGCGGUUGGGGUGUUAGCACAGGCUGAGCCCUGGGAGGUGGACCAUUCCAGCUCUGAUAUAAAUUUUUUGAGUCAGUUCACGGCCUGGACUCUCCAGGUGGCCUCCAAAAUCGAUUGUGACCUUGUGACCCUGUCUAACGGAGGCAUAGCAUCCAACCUAAGUAAGGAUUUAGCCAGGAACGACAGCUUUCCACUGAGUGUUAUUGGGGACAGUACAAACAGUUUGGGAAGCAAGGAGAUCAGCCCUCUUCAGAACCCCAUUUCUGGCAAUCUCAGCAACACGUGGGGGUCUGGCAGCUUCUGCAAACAUUGCCAUCUUCCCUCCCUGCUCCUUCUGCACUGUUACACCAGCUCCACAACCUGUCAUUUCUCAGGAGCCCUUAAUGAUGCCUUUCCUCCAUCAUCUGCCCCACGGCUCUUCCAGAAUCAGAUGCUUUUGUCAAAGUUUUUCAAGCCAAUCUAGAAAUAGAUACUGAAAUAAAGGCAGGUGAUCUGGUGGUGGGGUGACGUUCUGUCACUGCCUUCCUGCCCUGCAUCAGCAGAGUACAGACCAUCUCCUGAGCUCAGCAUAAAAUAAGAAUAAUAAUAAGAACUUUGCAAAGUGCUUUUAUAUCCCUGGAAGAUUUGAUGCAAAUUAAAACCCACCUAGGUUUUGUCAAAUCUAACUCUACCCAACACUUCACCUUCUCCACUGCUGUCUUUUAGCUGCUGAAGACUUGCUGAUAAGCCUUUUAGAGUCAGGCUUUUGUGUCAUGCCUUGCAUAAAGUGACAUUUGGGCUUUUAAACUACCCUUGUGUUUGUAACACACAUAGCAGCACUGGUAUAUUUUUUUUUUCCACAUGCAUCCUCACUUUGCAGAAUAAAAACCCCAACCCCGAACAAACUACAAACAGCCUGAUGAUGCGUGGUGUGGAGUGCCCGGUAACCUUUGUGUGCUCCAGGCAGAGCUCAGCUUUGUCGUGGUCAUUAGUGGGCCAGCACACAUUGAAAUGUGUGAUCUAUUCCUUCCUGAGCCCCAGUGAUGCCUUGCUUAGCAGUUCCUCUCGCUGGUGAGUUGCUCUUGUAAUUUCCAGUUAUGUAACCCAUCUCAUUUUGUGAAUAUGUGAAUUUAACAGCUGUCAGUGUCAGCAGCGGCUGCGAGGGGUGUGUGUCUUUUUUUUUUUUUUUUUUUGGCAAGCUGGCAUUACUCAUCAGUCUCAUGGUAGUUUUGUUUGAAAAAUGCUUGUGUUAGAAAAAGUGGAUUUAUCAGCUCAGCACUGUAUGGUGCUAGCAUGCAGCUCAACAAAAGACAAGUGCUCAUUUCAGUAACGCUUGCAGCAUUUCAUGGGGGCCCCAAAUAGGCUGAACAAGGCUUCUCUGGCAGCUAACCCCAAGUACAGUGGGAAACUAUUAAAGUGGCAGUGUCACUGCCUGGAAAAGGGAUUCAGUUUUGUUCCAUCAUUUAUUGCUGCCUUUUUUUUUUUUAAGUAAAGACUAUUAACUGCAUUAGAAAUUUCCCUGAAUAUUGGAGAAAAGAAGAGACCUAACUGAAAAUAUACUGCCAGAAGUGAUUUUUCUCAUAGUUUCUUGGAGCGUAGACCAAACUGUCAGUCUGUCCUUCCCAAAGUGGGUCUUUUUUAGGAGGAAAAAUAAGAUACUUGCAGCUUUUUCAAGUAAUAUUACAAAGUCAGUGGUGCUGCAGCCUUUCAGGGAGAACUCAUUCUCUCUUCAAAUCAGUUUAUUUUCAGAAAGAUUUGCUGCACUUACACUUUCUUUUGUAGCUGCUCUUCCAGAAUGCAAAUAUAACCUAGAGAGUUUUCUGUAUUUAAUUGAAUGUGUGAGGUGGUUAAAAAUAUGUUUUAAAAGCAGUAUUACAUACUGCAAAUGUGUCAAACCCUUUGUUCACAUUUAUUUAAAACAAAUGUAUUUUUCAGUAUUUAUUUAUUUAUUCUCUCUGUUUACAGUCCACACAGAUGGUAAAGAUAAACCAGUGAGCUUCAUUUUUUCUGAAAAAUUGCCUCUCGCAUUUUUAGGUUCUCACACACUGGCAAGAUGCUACAAACCCACGUGACAAAGAUCAGAGGGAAAUACUUAUUUGAAGAAAUCUUUGUCAUUAGCUGUGUUGUAAGUUUUAUAAAAGGUUCAAUUUCACGAAAUGCAAAUUCUAGCCUAAUUGUUCCUCUGCAAGCCUUUACGGUCUCUGAGCUGCAUAGUUAAUCUGCUACCCGCCUCUACUCAGAGGGUCAGAGCCGGGUGAAACUUGUCUUCACACACCAAUUACAUCUAUUUUUAACUUUUUUUUUUUUGCUUGUUUACCGUAACUUGCAUCCAGACAAAUGUAUUUGAACAUGCACACCUUUAAGGCUGCACAAGGGCCAAACACGUCCCCCCUGUGGGGACAGCCACCCUCAGAUACAUUUCUGGGUGUCCACCUCCCACAUGUAGGUGUGCUCCAGAUGCUGCUGUGGCUGGAUGGGAGGAAUGGGUGGAUGCAGCUCCCAUCUCAUCCAUCCGCUGUUUCACCAUGGAGAGAGGUGGCUACAGUGAAGUGUCUGCUCUCUGCAAGGACAGAGGUUUGAAGUUAUCAGCUCCUUAGAGUUGUAGAGACUACAAACUUGAAUGCACUCUGGCAUUAUGUGGUGUCUGCACACACACUGUGCAGCCCCUGUAGCCUCCACAUCCCUGCCCCAGUGUCCUGCAGCAUCCCAUGGGCAUACAUGAAGCAGCCACCUCUGGACACCAAGAGCUCACUGUGAUUAACCUGUUGGCUUUCAAGCACGUGUGAAGACAGCACUGUGGUAGCAGGUAAGAUGUUUGUAUUUCAGCUUGGUACUCAGAAAACUGGGUACUUCCUACAGUGUUUCUAUAAUGUGGAAAAUUGAAGACCCUUGGUGUUUAGUCAGGCCAGGUACAGACGACAUACCAAAAUGAUGCUUCAGGGAAGCAGGGAAGACAUUCAGUUCCUUCUCCCUUGACUGGACUAAAUUUGAAAGCUGUAGAGAGGCACCAAGAGCAAACUGGCAAUCCAGGGUUUGGGGGCAUGGAAACUGUUGAAGCCCUUCCACCACUGGUACUCCAGUAACCUCUAUCUUGUUCCCAUUCAGGGUAAAGCUGUGCAGAGACUGCUCACUGUUCUUCUGGGGCUAUUAGUGAGUAAUAUUUCCUUCCAGACUCCUUGUACCCUCACAUUUGUAGCUCAUCCUCUGGCACCUGGCAGAGAAGUCAGGGUCAGAUACACCACAAGGCCCUGGUGUGUGUAACUAAGAAAUGCAGUUGGAAAAGCCAAGAGAAGGUUAUAUCAGUGACUGUGCAAAGUUGAGGGAUGGCUGUUUUGGCAUGGAGAGCAGGUACUGAAAUAUUUGUCCCACACCUACCGCAGAAAAGUUGUGAUCUUUGACUUGAGUGACAGAGGAAUGGGGGACUGGGAUGUCUCAGCCCAAACUCCCUUAAGACUUGGCUUGAUGGGUGAGAUCUCGAACACAGCCAGAGCCUAUGACAUUAAAGGCUUUAUAAAAGCAACAGUGCCAGUUUAAAAUGAACCUCCCACAUUACUUGCAGCCCCAGCAGGUGUAAUGUGAUCCAGGUAGCCCAAGCCAGUGAGUAAACAAACUGCUGCUUUCCGAAUGAGUUGCACUAGAGAAACACUUCUAACUGGGAAUUACAGUGGGUAAUUGCUAUCUGCUGAUAUUGAGAGACCGGUGAGAAUGGACAGGAUCCUAUGACUCUAAUUCUUCUUAUUCCACACAGGUUUUUCUCUCUCUACCUAAAAUGAGGUAGGGAAAAAAUGUAGGGAAAAGUUUUCCUAGUAAGCCUGUAAAGUUUAGUAGGAUUGGGCCUGAAUUAGCUCCUUGAACUUCAGUGGGGUCUGUUGCUGGGUUUCCCUAAGCCAGAGAAAACAAUCCUACUGCUUCCAAACUGCCAAGCCAGUCAGCAGCAUUUAAUAUUGUCCCCAAAGAAGCUGCUUCACUGCUGUUCUGUUGGGUUCCUAGUCCCAUUUCCAGUGAGCAGUAUUAACUUAGGGCUUUUUACUUGGCUACGACACUGGCCAUUUUUUUCUCCUUCAAUGCCACCUCUUAAGCCUUCCAGCUAUGGGGAAUUCAUCCUCCACAGACAGCCCUACUGUACAGACCAGCUGAACAGAGGCUGAAUGCACCAUUUUAGAUCCUUUAGGUGUUACUGCCCGGCUCCCUAUCUGGGACAAGUGCAUAAAACUAAAAACUAAAAGAAGGUACAUAUGUCCAAGUAGAGUCUGGACUUUGACAAGUAUUAUGGGCUUAGCAGGCUUUAAGACUCACUGCAGAGUCUUUGGAGGCUGUGGGUACGCUACACUGAGGUCCCAGCAGUCCAGCUCUGCUCCAGCAUUUCUGCCUCCCAGCCUGGGUCCCAUCCUGUCCCAGACAGCCUCCCCCCCUCCCCAUGCCCACGCUCCAGUUAUUCGUGAGUUAUGAUAACAUAUAAGCAGCUUAGAGAAUUCUUAUCAGAAUAAGUUGAACACAAUGCAACAUUUAACUCUUAAUGACAGCCACCUCUGACUGUGAGUGACAUGUUAUAAAUUAUGUUUGAACGGGAUUUUUUUUUCAGAGGCAGAUAUUCCCUCUGCCACCCAGUCAGCCCUGUAACGUUGCACUUGUGGCCUUAAUCCCACUUGGAUGUGUGCCCUGCUGCCUCCACUUUCCGUCACUUGGGUACUUUAGUAUUCUUGAACAAGUGAACAAUCUUUGUUUCUGUACCUUAUUAGGCCAAAGACCAUAGCAGCUAGCGAUGGCAUCAGCAGGCCCUGCAGGCAGGAUUCUCUGCAGACACAGCCAACCUCCAACAAACCCCUUUUUAUCCUCCUGUUUCUAGGAAGAAUUAUGAUGGUGGUGCCCUGCUGUUGAUCAGUCAAAUCUGUGGUAGGCCUAGAGAUAAGUCCUGUAAGUGUGGUGUACUGUAAAACAGCGGCUCCCAUUCAUUAGUAGCUUGUGUGUAAUAAACCACCCAAAGGAGGGGGUUGGGGAGGGAGAGGGACGAGCAGCUGCAGUAUGCAGGAACAAACAACACAACUCAUUCUCGGGAGCCAAAACUUUCUAAUUUGCUGCUGGGCUGCUGGGAGCACUCAAAUUCUUUCUGAUAAUACGCUCGUGCCCUCAGUGUCUCUCCUCGUGUUUCCCAAGUCCUGCUCUCCCGAGGUCCCUGAGUCUGGGAUAGUUUCACUCUGAACCCAAAACACAGAGGGUAGCUGAGCGGGGAGGAGGGGAACACAUCAGCUGCCCAGUGUUUGCAGACUCCAGCAUAAGAAAACCGUGGACUCAGAGACAAGUCAUUCUCCCGGGGAAUGGCUGUUGUACGUAUCUGCUUGUGCAGUGAGUAAACAAAGCAUCACAUGGGCUGCAGGGCAAGCAGGAGACAUGGAGCAAACCCAUGGGUAUCUGGGCAUGCAGGAGGACAGUGUCUCAAAUGUUCUUACUGAUUUAGAGACUGCUGGAAUAUUCAGGAACCUCUGUCUCCCAAGAGGUAAAAACCCUGACUAAACUCAAAUCAGUAACAGCUGAAAAAUUAUUUGGCUGAAUCUGUACUAUUUUUUUCACAAGUUCUUGUAAAUAUUUAUAGCUUAUAGGCAUGUUAAUUUAAAUGGAGUCUGCUAAAUAUAAUGUAAGAUGUUACAUGUGUUGAGACAUCAGUAGUUCCUAAUAUUUGCAUAGCUGUGGAUACAUUGGUGCUUUCACAUCUCAGCCUUGGACACUCCAACUGCCUGUGGAACAUUUCAGACCAGGAUUUGAAGAUAUCGUGUGUUGCAGAAUUGCUUUUAUAGACCAGGCCUUUGUGCUAAUGUUUGUAUUAUCACAGGAAAAUGAAAUUAUUUUCAGAUAGAUGCUGCUCUGGAGGACUGCUGUACCCUUGCAGGAGAUGACAGUGACUGCUUUUUCACAGUGAUGUACCAGGCUGUGACGGUGCUUGGACUGUCUCAUAACAUUUGUAUAGACAAGGGCUACUUUAAUGGCAAAUUCAGGCUCGGGCCAAACUGCAAGCACUCUUUAUGUAGACAAGGCAAAAUUGCAGAUUUGAGAUUUCCACCUUCCUAGAGGAGAUCCAUCUCUCUGCUCUCUGGGAGGAGCUGUGCUGUGAGUUGCCCAAGUUUUAAGCUGGGAAAUGAGAGGUGCUUCUGCCAGGCUGCUGCUUGGUAAAGUUACACAGUGGGGUGAGAUGAAAACAUCCUGAAGAGCCCUCGCAUGCAUCCACAAAAUAGUGUUAACUAAAUCUGGGCACAUCUUCUGAAAGUUCAGGUGGUACCGUUGAGGUAGUUCUGAUUGUGGCAUUUUGGCAUUUUUAACAAAGUCAAAGUAAUUUGGCACUUCGAUUUUCCUUCCUCAAACUUAGGUAGGUAAGCAGGCAAGUGGAUAGCUUUAUAAUAAAAAUUGUCUGCUCGGUGCCCAUUUCCAACGUGGAUCCUGAUCUCAUUAUUUUUUUUCCUGGAUUUUCAGCUAGAAUUGCAACAAGGAACAUUUUAUAUGAAUCUCUCCAUGACUUUUCAAAGAAAAUUGCAAAGGUAACACCUCUGGUAAUUGCUGUACUGUAUAAGUAAAUGAGGGACCCCCCAAUUGAAAACUCCAGCACUAGUCAGACUGACUUGUUCCCCCAAGAGCUGGCAGCACACAACAGGUACCCACCUACCUGUGGUCAUGUUGUCAGCAGGCUUGAAGUUAUAGAUGAGACCAGCAAAUCGAGUGAAUGUGCUGGGUCGGUAUGAAAUCAGCAGAGGAAGGUUUUUCUGAGGGUUUGAGCCCCAUCUCCAGCACAAGCAAAGCCAUGUAAUCCUUUCCUUUGCAAUUAGAGCUGAAAAAUAGCCCCGGGGCCAGAGCACUCGCACAAGGAGCAAUUAGACAAGCUAGACACUGGGAAAAGCUAAAAAUAGUAAAUAAUCUGCCUCCACAAAAAUACCUUGAGUCAUUAGAAAAGGACAUUUUAUGAAUUUCCCAGGAAUCACUUACUGCUUUAAUGUGUUCACAGUGUUCUGCCCAGGAGGGCUAUAUUCCAACUGCUGUUUGACAGAGGUAAACAUGAGUAACACGACUCUCUUCUUACACUUGAGACACUGAAAACCCUUGAGAGAUAAUUCAAGAGGAA